This 72-nucleotide transfer RNA is filed under the name Apaloderma vittatum (bar-tailed trogon). It matches the Rfam family "tRNA". From Rfam's summary of the family: Transfer RNA (tRNA) molecules are approximately 80 nucleotides in length. Lineage: Eukaryota; Metazoa; Chordata; Aves; Trogoniformes; Trogonidae. The record is from Rfam by way of RNAcentral.
GGCCGGUUAGCUUAGUCAGUUGAGCGUGGUGCUAAAAACGCCAAGGUCGCGGGUUUGAUUCCCGUUCGGUCC